This 321-nucleotide ribosomal RNA is filed under the name Salmonella enterica. RNAcentral describes it as "bacterial SSU rRNA". It matches the Rfam family "Bacterial small subunit ribosomal RNA", at positions 901 to 1222 of the family's 1533-position model. Lineage: Bacteria; Pseudomonadati; Pseudomonadota; Gammaproteobacteria; Enterobacterales; Enterobacteriaceae. The record is from RNAcentral.
UCAAAUGAAUUGACGGGGGCCCGCACAAGCGGUGGAGCAUGUGGUUUAAUUCGAUGCAACGCGAAGAACCUUACCUGGUCUUGACAUCCACGGAAGUUUUCAGAGAUGAGAAUGUGCCUUCGGGAACCGUGAGACAGGUGCUGCAUGGCUGUCGUCAGCUCGUGUUGUGAAAUGUUGGGUUAAGUCCCGCAACGAGCGCAACCCUUAUCCUUUGUUGCCAGCGGUCCGGCCGGGAACUCAAAGGAGACUGCCAGUGAUAAACUGGAGGAAGGUGGGGAUGACGUCAAGUCAUCAUGGCCCUUACGACCAGGGCUACACACG